CCCUUAGAUGUUCUGGGCCGCACGCGCGCUACACUGAUGCAUUCAACGAGUUUCUUCCUGGUCAGAGAGGAAUGGGUAACCUUUUGAAAGUGCAUCGUGAUAGGGAUAGACUAUUGCAAUUAUUGGUCUUCAACGAGGAAUUCCUAGUAGACGUAGUUCAUCAGACUGCAUCGAUUACGUCCCUGCCCUUUGUGCACACCGCCCGUCGCUCCUACCGAUUGAAUGCUCAGGUGAGCCAUUCGGACUUUCAUCAUGCUGGUUUCCAGUUUUGAUGAAGGAAAGUCUUGCGAACCUUAUCAUUUAGAGGAAGGAGAAGUCGUAACA
This 324-nucleotide ribosomal RNA is filed under the name uncultured eukaryote. RNAcentral describes it as "partial 18S ribosomal RNA". It matches the Rfam family "Eukaryotic small subunit ribosomal RNA", at positions 1470 to 1796 of the family's 1831-position model. The record is from RNAcentral.